CAGGUGGUACCAAAAAACACAAUCUUUAACUUUUGCUAAUGGAAAACCAAAAAAGAUCCACACAGAGACAGGGGGAGAGAAAUAAAGAUAUUGUUAGGACAAAGUCUUUACAAAUGAAAGUCUUCGAUCUGUAAAGACCUGUCCAAAUCCAGCCGUGCUGACCAUUUACCAUGGCACCAGACAUCUGAGAAGUAAUGCAUGAAAGCAUUUUGGUUUGGAUUAAGGUGAGACUUUAUGCUAGGGCUGGGCGAUUUUAAUCCAGUUUUAUUUUCAAUUACCAUUUUGGCUUCUAACAAUUGCUAGAGCACAAUGUUCUUCAUAUAUCUAGCCUCUUACUUUGGCCCUCAAAGUGCACCAGAGUGAUGCAUUUAAGUUUAAAGGAGAUGAGGCCAAUGACAAUCAGGACCGUGAAUAAACAGAGCAACGUUAAUUUUACAAUGUAGAUUGAGAUUAAGCUACGUGGGUUGAAUUUAGACAAAGUAGGUUUCUGUGUUUCGCUUCCUGCCCUUUUAUGUGCCACCUGCUAUCAUUGCUCUGCUGCAUUCAUGGUUUGCUGCUCCUGUCAAACUGUUUCACAAUCGUUGACAUUACGUGCAAACAAUUUGAGUCGACUGAAAAUGCUUCUUCUUCUGAGUUGUUGGAUUAUUGCAGGGAUUACAACAGAAGUACCACCAAUGAGGCACUAUCGGGUGAAAAACAGCUCAUUAUGUUUACCAGUUGUAACAUCACCACCAUAUCAACAAGAUACGUGGUCUUUUAACAAGAACGUUAUUGUUUUAGAUAAAAACAUCACACCCAAUUACAAAGACAAAGUGUAUUAUAAUCCAGGAAACCAGUCCUUGUGUAUCAAAAAGAUCACUGAGACUGACCGUGGCAUCUAUACAUUUACAUUCAUUCAUUUAAUUAAUUCUACAUUCCAAACAUCAACUGAGACCCACAGACUAAUUGUUGAAGAAACUGUUCCCAGGCCUGUCAUUAGGCUGUCACGACUGCACUCUAACCUGUCUGCUGAAUUCUGCAACAUCGCAGUCAACUGCUCCAUCCGGGAUGACUGGGUGCGUUCAGUCUGUGAUAAUAACUGCAUAACAUCUCAGAGAUCCUUAUUCUGGAAGUUCAACAUCAUCAUCCUCACCGACGGCAGAUCUGUUGUCUGCAUUGGCAGCAACCACGUCAGCACAACAAAUGUUUCUGUAAGCAUAGAGGCAAUGUGCUUUGGAAAAUCUAAUCAUCCACCCACUGUAAUAUUUAUAGUUAUUGUAGUGUGUGUAGCCCUCUGUGCCUUUGCUUUCUGUGUGGCUAUGGGGUUCUUUUCAACACAAUAUUGUCACAAUCAGACAUCUACUGCUCAGAUGAUACAAAGCCAGCCAGCGGAGGCACAGCCAAACUCUGUGCCGAGAGUCUCCACCUCUUCUUCCAGUCAAGCUGAGGCCUCUUAUGAAAACGUGGCUGCCCCACAGCCCUGCCAGACCAGCAGCCCAACAGUCAGCCCAAGAGAGGAGUCUGAGCAAAGUCAGAAAGUAGAUACCUUCUACAGCGUUUUACACACUCCAAAGGUGACUUCCUCUCAAGGCGAGAGUGGAGAUACGAAAGGACACACGGACAUACAAGAGGCACCGACUUCACAGUAUGUCACACUGGAUGAGACGGAGCACCCUGCGCAAAUUGACACGGUGUACAGUGUGUUGCAAAAGCCAAAGAAAAUCUGAAGUCACAGCACCACCAACAG
Long non-coding RNA from Cottoperca gobio, 1726 nucleotides. Ensembl lists it as uncharacterized. The record is from Ensembl. NCBI's taxonomy places the organism in Eukaryota, Metazoa, Chordata, Actinopteri, Perciformes, Bovichtidae.